This is a long non-coding RNA of Gallus gallus (chicken), 2254 nucleotides long. Lineage: Eukaryota; Metazoa; Chordata; Aves; Galliformes; Phasianidae. The record is from Ensembl.
GUUUUCCAAUUCUAACACGUUUUUCUUCUCAAGGAGUGCGGCACAUUGUACUGUUUGGGUGGGGUGCUCAUGCGUUCAGAGCAGUUUGGUGCUGGUUCCCAUAUCUCUUUUUCAUAUGGUACAACGUAACGUGAGCCUCUGCACCUGACCCAGAAAGCAAACUUAACAGCUAAAAUUGCUGAGGCGAAUGAUGGUGAUCUGUUAAAUUUAGAAAUGUUUGGCAGCGCGUUUCCAGUCUUAAUACGUUCACAGGUGUGGUUUGUUUCUUUUCUGUGCAGUGGCAACCUGGUGGGGCAUGAAGCUUGAAUUUCUGGUGGAUGCGUUAUGUUAAAACGACUGGAAUGGAAGUUAUUGAGUAUGUGACUAAUGUAGAAGAAUCCUGUAUAAUAGACACUACUUAAUGUGUUACAUAAGUAACGUGAGGUGGAGCCUGGUUGCAUAAGAAACAGCUGGGAAUGGGGGAGCUGCUGUACGCAGUCCGUAUUAGCUGCAAUUAGAGCCUGCAGGUUAUGUGUGCUGGGGAGGGGAGCAGUGGGCUUGGACAUCUGAUAGUGCUACAUUUUUCCUUUGUACCAGGAAAGAAAUAGAGAGAGUAAUAAAGGAUGACAGUGCAAAGCUUUUUGAAGUUUGGAAUCUCAUCUGAGCUUAACUUCUGUGAUGUAUGCUGCUUCCUGAAAGAAACCCCCCUUUUUUUGCAUGUCAGAUGGUGGCUGUCAGCUGAGCCUUGCAGCAGCCAGUUCUGUGCAGGGUACUGCAAAGAGCAGGAUUCUUGAUCCUAGAGGUUGUUAACGCUGUUCAGAAAAACGAAGCAGUGGAAGUAGUGUUAGGAGGAGGCCGUUGGUUUGUUGACCCAACAUGUAAGUGACUGGAUUAUUGUUUCUUCCUGUAUAGACAUACUAUAGCACAAGGUAAAUAAUCCCUUUGUAAUAGAAUCUUCUAGAGAAGCUUCUAGAGCGCAGCAAUUCUUACGAGAUAGAACAGAUUUUAUUUGGGACCUGACAUGAAUAUUUCCUGGCUAUGUACUUAGUGGAGAGUGUUAAUGUGAACUGAAGAUGACGAAAAACACGUUCUACUUCAUUAGCACUUGCAUUUAGGCUUGCAGUCCAUGAUUACAGAGUGGGGAGCAGUUGUCUCUCUCACUGUAAGGGAACAAACUGAAUACUUACGUUCUUACAUAAGUAGCUCAUAGAAUACUCAGAAAUCAAAAGUUUCUAUGUGGUAGAGAGCUUCAAUUUGUAAAGAAGCCUUUUAGUCAGCACCUAUUAAUACCAGAUUUAGUUUUAGGAAUUAAGAGCUGAACUUUCUUAAAAGUUCUGUGUAAUGGGUAGCUUGUCGCAGAAGCACUCGAACUGCAGAGUCCUUCUGUUCUUAUGACACAACAGAAAUGAAGGAAUACUCUAAUAAUAAUAUUUUUGUUUGUUUCAGGGCAGACCUGUUAGCUGUUUUCAGGGAAGCACUGUCUUCUUUGAGAAGUGAUAACUUUCGUGGUGGUGUAGCACAGUCUUGAAAUUAUGUCUGUGAUGUAUUCUGAAAUUACUUCUGCUGCAGAUGAAUAACAGCAAAUGCACAUACUGCUUUGAGACAGAAACCUAUGGGAAGGGGAUUUGCUUGAAGGCCAGUCUGUAAGCUGUGCCUUUAUCUGGAAGGUAUGGGAAACAAAGGAAGCUGUAGGAGAGGGAGGUGUUUAAAAAGUAGUUCGUAUUUAUGGUAGCCAACCAGGGAGAGAAACAGUUUCUACUUAACUGUAAUUCUUCCCUUUUACUGAAGGCAUUUCAAUUGGCUGUGUGUUCUCCAGCAUUGAGACCUGUGGUCCUAACUUGCUGCGGUAGCCUGUCUGUGCAUGUGUAUAUGGUUUGUGCUUUUGCUAAGACCUGUUAUUUAAACAGUACUGUUUACAGUACUAGUCGUAUGAAGACUGACAAGAGUUCAAGGGUACGUAGAGGAGAAGGGAGAGAGGGAUACGAAGCGUAAUAGAUCCGAGUGUGCAUUAAUGCCAUAGCUGAAGCAAAUGGAUCAUUUUUUAAUGUGAAGGUUGGCUGCAUGGCUUCACAAACAGUCCUGCUUGAACAGGAAUAGGAAGAAGCAGCUGCAGGGAGAAAGAAUGGAGAUGUGCAAGUUUUACCUGUUUGGUUUUUUUUUUUCCCUUAUUAAAGAGGCAAUUCUUAAGGAAUCGAAGUGGCAAAUCCUAACGGCAGUUUUAGAGUCAGAAUCACUAUAAUCCUUGCUUAAGGAGUUGGGCAUAUUUUUUUUAAAA